RNAcentral lists this ribosomal RNA (2936 nucleotides) under Providencia vermicola. Its description in RNAcentral is "23S ribosomal RNA". It matches the Rfam family "Bacterial large subunit ribosomal RNA". The record is from RNAcentral. Lineage: Bacteria; Pseudomonadati; Pseudomonadota; Gammaproteobacteria; Enterobacterales; Morganellaceae.
GGGUUGUGAGGUUAAGCGACUAAGCGUACACGGUGGAUGCCUAGGCAAUCAGAGGCGAUGAAGGACGUGCUAAUCUGCGAAAAGCGUCGGUAAGGUGAUAUGAACCGCUAUAGCCGACGAUGUCCGAAUGGGGAAACCCAGUGCAAUUCGUUGCACUAUCGUUUGAUGAAUCCAUAGUCAAACGAGGCGAACCGAGGGAACUGAAACAUCUCAGUACCUCGAGGAAAAGAAAUCAACCGAGAUUCCCCUAGUAGCGGCGAGCGAACGGGGAGCAGCCCAGAGUCUUAAUCAGCAUCAGCAUCAGGAGAACGGUCUGGAAAGUCCGGCAGUAAAGGGUGAUAGCCCCGUAUCCGAAGGUGUUGGUGUUGUGAACUCGACGAGUAGGGCGGGACACGUGUUAUCCUGUCUGAAUAUGGGGGGACCAUCCUCCAAGGCUAAAUACUCCUGAUUGACCGAUAGUGAACCAGUACCGUGAGGGAAAGGCGAAAAGAACCCCGGCGAGGGGAGUGAAAUAGAACCUGAAACCGUGUACGUACAAGCAGUGGGAGCACCUUUUAGGUGUGACUGCGUACCUUUUGUAUAAUGGGUCAGCGACUUAUAUUCUGUAGCAAGGUUAACCGUAUAGGGGAGCCGUAGGGAAACCGAGUCUUAACUGGGCGAUUAAGUUGCAGGGUAUAGACCCGAAACCCGGUGAUCUAGCCAUGGGCAGGUUGAAGGUUGGGUAACACUAACUGGAGGACCGAACCGACUAAUGUUGAAAAAUUAGCGGAUGACUUGUGGCUGGGGGUGAAAGGCCAAUCAAACCGGGAGAUAGCUGGUUCUCCCCGAAAGCUAUUUAGGUAGCGCCUCGUGAACUCAUCUUCGGGGGUAGAGCACUGUUUCGGCUAGGGGGUCAUCCCGACUUACCAACCCGAUGCAAACUACGAAUACCGAAGAAUGUUAUCACGGGAGACACACGGCGGGUGCUAACGUUCGUCGUGAAGAGGGAAACAACCCAGACCGCCAGCUAAGGUCCCAAAGUCAUGGUUAAGUGGGAAACGAAGUGGGAAGGCUCAGACAGCCAGGAUGUUGGCUUAGAAGCAGCCAUCAUUUAAAGAAAGCGUAAUAGCUCACUGGUCGAGUCGGCCUGCGCGGAAGAUGUAACGGGGCUAAACCAUGCACCGAAGCUGCGGCAGCGACAUGUAAAUGUUGUUGGGUAGGGGAGCGUUCUGUAAGCCUGUGAAGGUGUGCUGCGAGGCAUGCUGGAGGUAUCAGAAGUGCGAAUGCUGACAUAAGUAACGAUAAUGCGGGUGAAAAACCCGCACGCCGGAAGACCAAGGGUUCCUGUCCAACGUUAAUCGGGGCAGGGUGAGUCGACCCCUAAGGCGAGGCAGAAAUGCGUAGUCGAUGGGAAACAGGUUAAUAUUCCUGUACUGGUGAUAAUUGCGAUGGGGGGACGGAGAAGGCUAGGCUGGCCGGGCGACGGUUGUCCCGGUUUAAGGAUGUAGGCAGGUGAAUUAGGCAAAUCCGGUUCACUACAUGCUGAGGUCUGAUGACGAGUCACUACGGUGGCGAAGUAGCUCAUGCCCCGCUUCCAGGAAAAGCCUCUAAGCUCUAGAUUAUCAUUAAUCGUACCCCAAACCGACACAGGUGGUCAGGUAGAGAAUACUCAGGCGCUUGAGAGAACUCGGGUGAAGGAACUAGGCAAAAUGGUGCCGUAACUUCGGGAGAAGGCACGCUGGCGCUAGGUGAAGUCCCUCGCGGAUGGAGCUGAAGCCAGUCGCAGAUACCAGCUGGCUGCAACUGUUUAUUAAAAACACAGCACUGUGCAAACACGAAAGUGGACGUAUACGGUGUGACGCCUGCCCGGUGCUGGAAGGUUAAUUGAUGGGGUUAUCCGUAAGGAGAAGCUCUUGAUCGAAGCCCCAGUAAACGGCGGCCGUAACUAUAACGGUCCUAAGGUAGCGAAAUUCCUUGUCGGGUAAGUUCCGACCUGCACGAAUGGCGUAAUGAUGGCCAGGCUGUCUCCACCCGAGACUCAGUGAAAUUGAACUCGCUGUGAAGAUGCAGUGUACCCGCGGCAAGACGGAAAGACCCCGUGAACCUUUACUAUAGCUUGACACUGAACAUUGAGCCUUGAUGUGUAGGAUAGGUGGGAGGCUUUGAAGUGUGGACGCCAGUCUGCAUGGAGCCAACCUUGAAAUACCACCCUUUAAUGUUUGAUGUUCUAACGUGGCCCCAUCAUCUGGGGUGCGGACAGUGUCUGGUGGGUAGUUUGACUGGGGCGGUCUCCUCCCAAAGAGUAACGGAGGAGCACGAAGGUUGGCUAAGCAUGGUCGGACAUCAUGCGGUUAGUGCAAAGGCAUAAGCCAGCUUGACUGCGAGAGUGACGGCUCGAGCAGGUACGAAAGUAGGUCUUAGUGAUCCGGUGGUUCUGAAUGGAAGGGCCAUCGCUCAACGGAUAAAAGGUACUCCGGGGAUAACAGGCUGAUACCGCCCAAGAGUUCAUAUCGACGGCGGUGUUUGGCACCUCGAUGUCGGCUCAUCACAUCCUGGGGCUGAAGUAGGUCCCAAGGGUAUGGCUGUUCGCCAUUUAAAGUGGUACGCGAGCUGGGUUUAGAACGUCGUGAGACAGUUCGGUCCCUAUCUGCCGUGGGCGUUGGAAGAUUGAAAGGGGCUGCUCCUAGUACGAGAGGACCGGAGUGGACGCACCACUGGUGUUCGGGUUGUCAUGCCAAUGGCACUGCCCGGUAGCUAAGUGCGGAAGAGAUAACCGCUGAAAGCAUCUAAGCGGGAAACUUGCCUUGAGAUGAGUCUUCCCUGACUCUUUAAGGGUCCUAAAGGAACGUUUAAGACUAAGACGUUGAUAGGCUGGGUGUGUAAGCGUAGCGAUACGUUGAGCUAACCAGUACUAAUGAACCGUGAGGCUUAACCUGACAACACCGAAGGUGUUUUAG